AAAGAGAGCCGUAACACAGGUGCUGCAUGGCUGUCGUCAGCUCGUGUCGUGAGAUGUUGGGUUAAGUCCCGCAACGAGCGCAACCCUUGUCAUUAGUUGCUACAUUCAGUUGGGCACUCGUAAAUGAGACUGCCGGUGACAAGCCGGAGGAAGGUGGGGAUGACGUCAAGUCCUCAUGGCCCUUAUAGGUGGGGCUACACACGUCAUACAAUGGCUGGUACAAAGGGUUGCCAACCCGCCGAGGGGGGAGCCAAUCCCAUAAAGCCAGUCGUAGUCCGGAUCGUAGUCUGCAACUCGACUACGUGAAGUCGGAAUCGCUAGUAAUCGUGGAUCAGAAUGUCACGGUGAAUACGUUCCCGGGUCUU
RNAcentral lists this ribosomal RNA (365 nucleotides) under uncultured Rhodoferax sp. RNAcentral's name for it is "bacterial SSU rRNA". It matches the Rfam family "Bacterial small subunit ribosomal RNA", at positions 1019 to 1382 of the family's 1533-position model. Lineage: Bacteria; Pseudomonadati; Pseudomonadota; Betaproteobacteria; Burkholderiales; Comamonadaceae. The record is from RNAcentral.